This 301-nucleotide ribosomal RNA is filed under the name uncultured bacterium. RNAcentral describes it as "partial 16S ribosomal RNA". It matches the Rfam family "Bacterial small subunit ribosomal RNA", at positions 509 to 807 of the family's 1533-position model. The record is from RNAcentral.
CAGCAGCCGCGGUAAAACGUAGGGCGCAAGCGUUGUCCGGAAUUAUUGGGCGUAAAGAGCUCGUAGGCGGUCUGUCGCGUCUGGUGUGAAAUCCCGAGGCUCAACCUCGGGCUUGCAUCGGGUACGGGCAGACUAGAGUGCGGUAGGGGAGACUGGAAUUCCUGGUGUAGCGGUGGAAUGCGCAGAUAUCAGGAGGAACACCGAUGGCGAAGGCAGGUCUCUGGGCCGCAACUGACGCUGAGGAGCGAAAGCAUGGGGAGCGAACAGGAUUAGAUACCCGAGUAGUCCCUGUCUCUUAUAC